This 494-nucleotide ribosomal RNA is filed under the name Lactobacillus sp. oral taxon 461. RNAcentral describes it as "bacterial SSU rRNA". It matches the Rfam family "Bacterial small subunit ribosomal RNA", at positions 28 to 489 of the family's 1533-position model. The record is from RNAcentral. Lineage: Bacteria; Bacillati; Bacillota; Bacilli; Lactobacillales; Lactobacillaceae.
GACGAACGCUGGCGGCGUGCCUAAUACAUGCAAGUCGAGCGAGCGGAACCAGCAGAUCUGCUUCGGCAGUGACGCUGGGAAAGCGAGCGGCGGAUGGGUGAGUAACACGUGGGGAACCUGCCCCAGAGUCUGGGAUACCACUUGGAAACAGGUGCUAAUACCGGAUAAGAAAGCAGAUCGCAUGAUCAGCUUUUAAAAGGCGGCGUAAGCUGUCGCUCAGGGAUGGCCCCGCGGUGCAUUAGCUAGUUGGCAAGGUAACGGCCUACCAAGGCAAUGAUGCAUAGCCGAGUUGAGAGACUGAUCGGCCACAUUGGGACUGAGACACGGCCCAAACUCCUACGGGAGGCAGCAGUAGGGAAUCUUCCACAAUGGACGCAAGUCUGAUGGAGCAACGCCGCGUGAGUGAAGAAGGUUUUCGGAUCGUAAAGCUCUGUUGUUGGUGAAGAAGGAUAGAGGUAGUAACUGGCCUUUAUUUGACGGUAAUCAACCAGAAA